RNAcentral lists this ribosomal RNA (472 nucleotides) under uncultured bacterium. Its description in RNAcentral is "bacterial SSU rRNA". It matches the Rfam family "Bacterial small subunit ribosomal RNA", at positions 355 to 825 of the family's 1533-position model. The record is from RNAcentral.
UCGGGAAUUUUGGACAAUGGGCGAAAGCCUGAUCCAGCCAUGCCGCGUGUGUGAAGAAGGUCUUCGGAUUGUAAAGCACUUUAAGUUGGGAGGAAGGGUUGUAGAUUAAUACUCUGCAAUUUUGACGUUACCGACAGAAUAAGCACCGGCUAACUCUGUGCCAGCAGCCGCGGUAAUACAGAGGGUGCAAGCGUUAAUCGGAAUUACUGGGCGUAAAGCGCGCGUAGGUGGUUUGUUAAGUUGGAUGUGAAAUCCCCGGGCUCAACCUGGGAACUGCAUUCAAAACUGACUGACUAGAGUAUGGUAGAGGGUGGUGGAAUUUCCUGUGUAGCGGUGAAAUGCGUAGAUAUAGGAAGGAACACCAGUGGCGAAGGCGACCACCUGGACUAAUACUGACACUGAGGUGCGAAAGCGUGGGGAGCAAACAGGAUUAGAUACCCCAGUAGUCCCUGAGCGGGCUGGCAAGGCGCAU